GACGAACGCUGGCGGCGUGCUUAACACAUGCAAGUCGAACGGAAAGGCCCUGCUUUUGUGGGGUGCUCGAGUGGCGAACGGGUGAGUAACACGUGAGUAACCUGCCCUUGACUUUGGGAUAACUUCAGGAAACUGGGGCUAAUACCGGAUAGGAGCUCCUGCUGCAUGGUGGGGGUUGGAAAGUUUCGGCGGUUGGGGAUGGACUCGCGGCUUAUCAGCUUGUUGGUGGGGUAGUGGCUUACCAAGGCAUUGACGGGUAGCCGGCCUGAGAGGGUGACCGGCGACAUGGGGACUGCGAUACGGCGCAGACUCCUACGGUAGGCAGCAGGGGGGAAUAUUGCACAAUGGGGGGAAGCCUGAUGCAGCAACGCCGCGUGCGGGAUGACGGCCUUCGGGUUGUAAACCGCUUUCGCCUGUGACGAAGCGUGAGUGACGGUAAUGGGUAAAGAAGCACCGGCUAACUACGUG
RNAcentral lists this ribosomal RNA (468 nucleotides) under uncultured bacterium. RNAcentral describes it as "partial 16S ribosomal RNA". It matches the Rfam family "Bacterial small subunit ribosomal RNA", at positions 28 to 507 of the family's 1533-position model. The record is from RNAcentral.